This 74-nucleotide transfer RNA is filed under the name Catonella morbi ATCC 51271. It matches the Rfam family "tRNA". Rfam says of the family: Transfer RNA (tRNA) molecules are approximately 80 nucleotides in length. Their secondary structure includes four short double-helical elements and three loops (D, anti-codon, and T loops). RNAcentral also lists the same sequence under 3 other names. Lineage: Bacteria; Bacillati; Bacillota; Clostridia; Lachnospirales; Lachnospiraceae. The record is from Rfam by way of RNAcentral.
GGUUCUUUAGCUCAGUUGGUUAGAGCAACCGGCUCAUAACCGGUCGGUCCUGGGUUCGAGUCCCCGAAGAACCA